CAUUUUCCCACCGCUUCUCUAACCAUCAAAACCACCCUCCUCUUCUUCCUCUCUCUCACUCGCUCGCAAGUCACAGCCAAAUUCCACUUUCUCUUCUUCUUCAUCUUGGCCAAUGGAUCCUGUUAGUGUGUGGGGAAAUACUCCCCUCAAAACCAUCGACCCAGAAAUCCACGACCUCAUCGAGAAGGAGAAGCGUCGGCAAUGUCGCGGCAUCGAGCUCAUUGCCUCUGAAAACUUCACCUCCUUCGCUGUCAUCGAGGCUCUAGGAAGUGCCUUGACCAACAAGUACUCAGAGGGUAUGCCCGGAAAUCGCUACUAUGGCGGGAAUGAGUUCAUCGAUGAAAUCGAGAGCCUGUGUAGGUCACGUGCUCUCCAAGCCUUUCACUUGGAUCCUGCCAAGUGGGGUGUGAAUGUGCAGCCUUAUUCUGGUUCUCCGGCGAAUUUCGCUGCCUACACGGCGGUGCUGGAACCUCAUGAUCGCAUAAUGGGUCUGGAUCUUCCCUCCGGUGGCCAUCUUACUCAUGGGUACUAUACUGCUGGAGGGAAGAAGGUAUCUGCGACCUCGAUUUACUUCGAGAGUCUUCCGUAUAAGGUGAAUUCAAGUACUGGUUAUCUUGAUUAUGACAAGUUGGAGGAGAAGGCCUUGGAUUUUAGGCCUAAGUUGAUCAUUUGUGGUGGAAGCGCGUACCCAAGAGACUGGGAUUAUGCAAGGUUCAGGGAGGUUGCAGAUAAGUGUGGAGCUCUUUUGCUCUGUGAUAUGGCUCACAUUAGUGGUCUUGUUGCUGCUCAGGAAGCUAAUAACCCUUUUGAGUAUUGUGACUUAGUCACAACAACAACGCACAAGAGCCUGAGAGGUCCUAGAUCUGGUAUGAUCUUUUACAGGAAGGGGCCAAAACCACCGAAGAAAGGCCAGCUUGAGGAUGCAGUUUAUGACUUUGAAGACAAGAUCAACUUUGCUGUCUUCCCUUCCCUUCAAGGUGGUCCUCACAAUCACCAGAUCGGUGCUCUCGCCGUUGCCCUGAAACAAGCCAUGUCACCUGGCUUCAAGGCCUAUGCCAAGCAAGUUAAGGCAAAUGCAGUUGCCAUUGGAAAUUACUUGAUAGGCAAAGGCUAUAGCAUUGUCACUGGAGGAACUGAGAAUCAUCUUGUUUUGUGGGAUCUGAGGCCUCUUGGUUUGACUGGCAAUAAGGUGGAAAAAGUUUGUGAUCUCUGUAACAUCACAGUGAACAAAAAUGCUAUUUUUGGUGAUAGCAGUGCCUUUGCUCCUGGAGGAGUAAGAAUUGGAACUCCUGCCAUGACAUCUAGAGGCUUGCUUGAGAAGGACUUUGAGAAGAUUGGCGAGUUCCUUCACCGUGCAGUGUCUCUCACACAGGAAAUCCAAAAGCAGCAUGGCAAGCUUUUGAAGGACUUCAACAAAGGCUUGGUGAACAAUAAGGCUAUUGAAGAACUGAGAGCUGAUGUUGAGAAAUUUUCAUCCUCAUUUGAGAUGCCUGGCUUCCCGGCAUCAGAGAUGAAGUACAAGGAUUAAGUUGGAUCAUAUAAACCCCUGAUAUUCCUUCCUCUUAUAUGUUUCUUGUAGAGCUAAGCUAUGAUAUAUGAAGAAGGUCUAAGAAGCUACUUUACUAUAUGCUGAUGAUAUCUGUGGUGGGUUUGCUUCAAGCGGUAUAGCCUUGACAACAAAUGCUUGGCAAAGACAACUUCAGGUGUUUUUUCUGUUUCACGCAACCAUCUUAACACUGUUGAAAACGAGCUGCUAGCUUCACGCUGGAUCCCCAAUGGAAUGAGAGUGAUAUUCACUUCAGACGCAAAUGUUGUCUUGGUUGCUAAAAGGAUCUCAAAACAUAUUUAACUCUACAUGUUGGUUUGAAGCUGCAAAAAAUAGGUUUCCUUUGUCAUUUCCAUUCUCGCUCACGUGUCCCCCUACUAUAUAAACCUGCUGUAAAAAUUUUGAGCUCAUUUUGUAAUUGUUCACUAUAAAGUACUGUUGUACUGAGGACUAUAAAAAAUUACUAAGAUUGUUGGCGGGCUGAUGUUUCUUGAA
Molecule: RNA transcript, 2041 nt
Organism: Prosopis cineraria
Lineage: Eukaryota; Viridiplantae; Streptophyta; Magnoliopsida; Fabales; Fabaceae
Gene name: serine hydroxymethyltransferase 4-like
Exons: 5
Source: RefSeq, a predicted model, not a curated record